This 208-nucleotide non-coding RNA is filed under the name Chelonia mydas (Green sea turtle). Its description in RNAcentral is "Eukaryotic large subunit ribosomal RNA". It matches the Rfam family "Eukaryotic large subunit ribosomal RNA", at positions 156 to 358 of the family's 3401-position model. Lineage: Eukaryota; Metazoa; Chordata; Testudines; Cheloniidae. The record is from Rfam by way of RNAcentral.
AAACCCAGCUGUGGAAGAGAGAGUUCAAGAGAGUGUGAAACUGUUAAGAGGUGUCCAUGGACAGAAUGAGGCCGGUAGCGGCCCUUGGCGUGCCGGGACUGGGUCGUCUUGGAGUCGGGUUGCUUGGGAAUGCAGCCCAAAGCUGGUGGUAAACUCCAUCUAAGGCUAAAUACUGGCACGAGAGCGAUAGUCAACAAGUACCAUAAGG